Long non-coding RNA from Carassius auratus (goldfish), 8108 nucleotides. The record is from Ensembl. Lineage: Eukaryota; Metazoa; Chordata; Actinopteri; Cypriniformes; Cyprinidae.
GAAAUCUGGGAUCUAGCUGAAUCUCUGAGAAGAGUUAUUGCUCCAUAAGGGAUGGCAUCCAUUACAAUAGCAAACUCUUGUGGAGUAACAGGUAUAUUGUACUUGUUCAAAAACUCUGAAUAUGAAUACAGGUAUCCAUCAGUAUUGAUUAAUUGAGAAACCAGAAUAAAAUUAUUUUUUAACCCAGUUUGGAAAAAACAACAACUUAUUUUAAUAGAUAAUAUCACAAUUAUUCCAAAUAAAGUACCGGUGAAGACUAAAAUUGUGUUUAUAAAUUAGGUGCCAGGCCAAAAGCGCUUUUUUUAUGAAAAUGAGACAAUUUAAGGGGCAAUUUGGUGAUGUUGUAGUUACAUAGCAAUAGAAAAGGGAGACCACCCACCUUAGAGAAAACAAGACUAGGAAAAGUAUUCCGGACUAAUUAAGUACUUCUUUAACCAAUUUAUCUUGAAAGUAUUUGUUGUAGCCAAUUCUGAUGUGUUAUGUUUUUUGUUGGUGGUAAGUUGCAUGGGGGUGACGUUCUUCCACCUGCACACUAGGGGGCAUAGGCAUGGCAUUAUGCUAGUUGUGGAGGCUAUAUGAUUAAGACACAGGUGAGCCAGGAGGAGGAUCAGGAGAAGCCAGAUAGUUUUUCAACCGUGCAUGCGUGCAGGUGGUUGGAUCAUGUUCAGCUAUUGGCACUAUGUUUAAUGUUGUAUAUGGAUGAGCUCAAUUGACAUCAGUAAUGCAAGCAGCAGUGUUUGUAAGUAAUUAUAUUCUUCAUUGAAUAAAGUCUUAAUCGAGUGCCAUGGGAGACCUGAUUUCUUGCACCAUUACGCGUUGGAGACGACUUCAAAUUCCCUCAAAUGUUUUUUUUGUGGUACGAUCGCCAUUACAUUAAGUUGAAAAACUAUCUGGCUUCUCCUGAUCCUUGGCUUCAAUGGACGGAUAGCGCGGAUGUUGGAGGGCAGAAGCACAGCACUCCAGCUGAUUCUAAUGAUUGAACACCGACAGGUGAAAUUGGACGCUGAGAAAUGAAAGUGGCUAAAAGCAACGCUGGAGAAUAACGGUAGGAUUGUUUUGGAAUUGUUAUAAGUUGUGUGGAAGAGAGUGGACUUCUCACAAUCAAGAUAUAGGUAAAUUCUGUCUCAAUUCUAAAAUAAAGUCUUUGGCAGCUUGUCUAAUCAUCAUAAUGAGUAACGUGGACUUGAAUGCACCUGUCAAUCAAGGUGAAACGGAGAAUGAACUUGGUAAAAGACCAGUUAAACUCACUGUUAAAGCUUUGGAAGAAAAAAUAAUAUCACAUCAAAAGGAAAGGAACCUUAGGAUAAAAAAAACUGUAUAAACUAAGAAAGGAAGUUGAGCAAUGGAUGCUUUCAAAACCCAAUGUGUCUGAGGUACAGAUGACAUAUGAUACCUUUUUAAAAUUGAGUGUGGAAACAACAGAAUUGCAUGAAUCAUUGAAACCUUUGUUACCAAAUGAGGAAAUGUCAAAACAAAAUAAAUGGUUUGAAAUCGAAAUGAACAGUAAUACAGAAAUGAUAAAAAGAAUUGAAGGGUGGUUGCUUGACUUCAAGGAGCAAUGCAAGGGUGAUGAAAAUGAUGGUGGUGAUGAUGUUGUUGAUGGUGAGGUUGAUAACGCUGUGCAACAUACAACUGUGAUCACUGAUGAGAUCGGUCCAAAUGACAGUAUUUCUAAUGUUAAUGAAAAACGGUGUACAUCAGCUUCUUGCUCCAGCCAUAGGUCUUUAAGGUCAUCAACCUCCUCUGCGUACCUUAAAGCAGAGGCUGAAAGAGCCGCUCUUAUUGCUAGGGCAGCUACCCUAAAAGAAAAGCAUGAACUGGAGGUACAGGAGGAACAAAUUAGACAAAAGAAGGAGGUGCUUGAAUUGCAAAGUCAAAUUGCUGCUCACACAGCGAAGGUUACGGUGCUUAAGUACAGAGGUUCUGAUGUGCAAAGCUCCAGUGCACAUUCUGAUGGAAUGAAUUCAUAUCUGAAAAGGUCAGAGUACAAAUCCUCUCUUAGAUCCUCUGCUAUGGAAUUUGUUCCACAAAGUUCAAGCUAUCAUUUCAAUCAUCCACCAAAAGGAGGCAGUAAAGCCUCAGUGUCAAUGGAAACAUGUCUCAAGGAUUCAAGCCAUCAGUUAAAUUAUCCACCAAAAGGAGGCACUAAAGCCACAGUGUCAACUAAGGCACGAUCUAAAGAAACCAGUUUUCAACAAGGUGGAACACAGGUUCAUGCUCUGCUUCAUAAACCUCAACAAACCAAUCACACCACAUAUCAUACACCGGAAACGGCUAUGCUUUCCACGCAGGAGUCCAUGCAGCGUGAUGGUUUAGUGCAAACCAACGUGGAACAACAAAAUUUUCUCACUAUUAUGCAAAGGCAAAACGACAUCACUGCUUUGCUAGUACAGCAGCAGUCUUCACUAUCAUUACCCCCAAGGGAUAUACCAACCUUCGAUGGAGAUCCUCUCGAGUACAGAACAUUCAUUAGAGCAUUCGAAAAUGGAGUAGAAGGAAAGGCUGCUAGCAAUCAAGAUUGCUUGUACUUUUUAGAGCAGUACACCAAAGGACAACCUAAGGAGCUGGUCAAGGGCUGUCAACACAUGCCACCUGAAAGGGGGUAUCAAAGAGCUAAGACACUUCUUCAGAAAUGCUUUGGAAAUGAACAAAGAAUUGCCACAGCUUACAUGGAGAAAGCUCUGGGAUGGUCACCAGUGAAAGCAGAAGAUGUCAAGGGCUUGCAAGCCUUUGUUUUGUUUCUACGGGUUUGUUGUAAUGCAAUGGAGGACAUUAGCUACAUGACAGAGAUGAAUAUGCCAUCCAAUAUGCGUGCUAUAAUUUUGAAGCUACCAUAUAAACUGAGGGAAAGGUGGAGAAACACUGCUUAUGACUUGCAGGAGAGGCACUGUCGUCAAGCAGGUUUCAGUGACAUUGUCAGUUUUCUUGAGAGGCAAGUAUCUAUUGCCUCUGAUCCACUCUUUGGAAAUAUUCAGGAUGCAUCCAUCUUACCAUCAAAAUAUCAUGUUGGCCAUAAAGUUCCCCAUGUUCGCUUCAAGGGAAGGGGAAGCAGUUUUGCUACCUCUGUGGAAGCUGUUACUACUGGAAACACACAUCAAGUCUUAGAAGAGAAAAAUUUAACCAAGUCAACAAAGGUGACGUGUCUGCUGUGUGAGGAGGGUCACAGAUUGGAGUGUUGCCCCAGACUAGAAAAGAAGCUGCACAGAGAGAAAAUAGAUUUUCUAAAGGUGAAAGGUGUUUGUUUUGGGUGUUUGACUGUUGGACACAUGAGCAAAGACUGUCAUAAACGUCUAUCUUGCAAGUUGUGUAACCUGAAACAUCCUACCUGCCUCCAUAUUCAUUCAAAGGAAAAGGAAAUCAAAUUAGAGGACACACACCAAGAAACAAGUCAUGUAGUUUCUCCUAAGACUUGUGGCCAUAUAGGGGCCGGUGUGCAAGACUGUGUUUUGCCAAUUGUGCCUGUACAAAUCAAGGCUGUAAAAGGUAGUAAGGUGCUGAAAACCUAUGCAUUUUUAGAUCCAGGCAGCACAGCCACCUUCUGCUCUGAGCGACUCAUGAGGGAACUAAAGGUGAGAGGAAAAAAUGCCAAGAUCCUGUUGAGAACCAUGAGUCAAGAAAAGUUUGUCGACAGUCAUAUCAUCUCAGGACUGGAAGUAUCUGCACUCAAUAGUAAUACUUUCUUUGAAUUGCCUGAUGUAUUUACACAAUAUGUGAUGCCUGUGACUCGUGAUAACAUUCCACGACAAGAAGAGUUAAGUGCCUGGCCACAUUUACACUCUGUGGAAAUUCCUGUCAUCAAUGCGGAUGUGGAUCUAUUGAUUGGAACCAACGUUUCAAAAGUAAUGGAACCAUGGCAAGUGGUAAACAGCAAGGAUGGAGGACCUUAUGCUGUCAGAACCCUAUUGGGAUGGGUUAUUAAUGGACCACUAAGAGGAGGCAAUGAGACUGGAAGUAGCUACCCUACCAGUACAGUCAAUCGAAUAUCUAUUGCUAACAUAGAGGAACUGUUGGUGAAGCAAUAUAACCAUGACUUUAAUGAGAAAUUAACAGAGGAAAAGCCAGAAAUGUCUAGAGAAGAUGUCAAGUUUAUGGAGAUCAUGAACAGUUCAGUUGAACUCUGCAAUGGUCAUUACUGCAUGAGAUUACCUUUCAGGGAGGAAAAUGUUAUCAUGCCCAACAACCGUCAUGUUGCUGAACAAAGGGCCCUCUGUUUGAAAAGGAAAUUAAUGAAAAAUGCUACCUUUAAAGAAGAAUAUACUCACUUUGUGAGUGAUGUCAUAAAUAAAGGAUAUGCAGAAAAGGUGCCAGAAAAUCAAAGGAAAGGAAAAGAAGGAAAAGUCUGGUACGUCCCGCAUCAUGGCGUGUACCAUGCAAAAAAGGGAACGUUGCGGGUAGUAUUUGACUGUGGUGCAAGCUUUAAGGGGAUGUCGCUCAACAGUCAGCUACUUCAGGGACCUGAUUUGACAAAUUCAUUGCUUGGAGUUCUGAUUAGGUUUCGUCAAGAAGUUGUAGCAGUGAUGGCUGAUAUACAGGCGAUGUAUCAUCAAGUUAAAGUGACAAAACAGGAUGUUGAUUUUCUUCGCUUCCUGUGGUGGCCAACUGGCGAAUUAACACAACAUCUUACUGAAUAUAGAAUGAUUGUUCAUCUGUUCGGUGCAAUAUCAUCACCCAGCUGUGCCAGUUUUGCCCUAAGAAAAACCGCUGAGGACAACAGGGCAAAGUUUCCAGUACACGUGACGGACACGAUCAAGCACAAUUUCUAUGUGGAUGACUGCUUGAAGUCCCUACCUUCAGAAGCAGAGGCCAUAGCCCUGGUAAGAGAUCUGACAACUGUAUGCCAGUCAGGGGGGUUUCGGCUGGUGAAAUGGAUUAGCAACAGCAGGUCAGUGUUGGAAUCUAUUGAUGUGGAAAAAAGAGCUAAAGAAGUGAAACAAUUGAAUCUCGACAGAGAUAAUCUCCCUGUCGAGAGAACACUUGGACUGCAAUGGUGUGCAGAAACUGACACCUUUAGGUUCAAAAUGGCAGUCCAGGAAAGACCACUGACAAGACGAGGUAUCUUGUCUGUAAUAAGCUCCGUGUACGAUCCCAUUGGAUUUUUAGCACCCUUUGCUUUACCUGCCAAGUUGAUGCUGCAAAAUCUCUGUAGGUUGAACUGUGGUUGGGAUGAUCACAUUUCCCCAAACUGCCAACUACAGUGGGUAGGGUGGCUAGAAGAUUUAAGAAAGCUUAGUACAUUUAGCAUACCAAGAUGCAUUAAGCCAAAAGAUUUUGGACCGCUUACCAGUGCCCAAUUACAUCACUUCUCUGAUGCCAGCGAGGACGGAUAUGGUACAGUAUCAUACCUGAGGAUGCAGAAUGACAAGAAGAAAAUUCAUCUUGCCUUUAUUCUAGGAAAAGCAAGAGUUGCUCCAUUAAAGAAAGUGACAAUCCCAAGGAUGGAACUAACUGCUGCUGUGCUUGCAGUUCGAAUUGAUAGGAUGUUGAAAACAGAAUUGCAGCUGGAGUUGGAGUAUUCUACUUUUUGGAGCGACAGCACAACUGUACUAAAGUACAUUAGGAAUGAAACAAAGCGUUUUCAUACCUUUGUGGCCAAUAGGAUCUCAACAAUAAGAGAAACCACUGCUGUUUCACAGUGGAGGUAUGUUGAUACAAAGCAGAAUCCUGCUGAUGAGGCUUCACGUGGGGUAAAAAUUGAGUACCUGCUCACAGGCAGCAGAUGGAUCCAUGGCCCAGAUUUUCUUCUAAAGAAUGAAAGGGAAUGGCCUGUUAACAUUGUGGAUUCUGUCUCUGUCAGCAGUGAUGACCCAGAGGUCAAAAGGGAGGCUACAGUUAAUGCUGUAGUCAUUAAAGAUGUCCUAAAUGUAACAAACACUGUCAACACAGAUGCACAGAAUUCAACAAAUCAGUUGAUAAAUUAUUUCUCUUCAUGGAAAAGGCUAAAGAUUUCAGCUGCUUGUUUUCUACAGGUGAGAAAGAUGUUGCUGCUGUUAAGUCAGAAGAGAAGAGAAAUACAAGCUUCUGUGUCCAGCAGUGGACUUGAUAUAAUUCAACAAAAGAACAAAGUGGAAAAGGAGAUGCAAAUAUUCAGAACCACACUGACUGGUCAAAUCAUGUCCCCUGAAAAUCUUGAAACCUCUGAAAAUGCCAUCAUUCGAUACUGUCAAUUAGACCGGUUCAAUGAGGAAAUAACUGUUUUGAAAGAGGGAACAUCUGGAGUGAAGAAAAGCAGUCAUAUUUACAAACUUGAUCCAGUAUUAGAAAAGGGGCUCUUGAGAGUGGGUGGAAGGCUCAGUAGAGCAGCAAUGCCUGAGGGCAUGAAACAUCCAGUCAUUUUAGCUAAAGACCAACAUAUCUCCACUCUCAUUCUUCGCCACAUUCAUGAGCAGUUAGGACAUUGUGGAAGAAAUCACCUGCUUUCUCGACUUCGUCAGCGGUAUUGGAUUACCAGUGCAAAUGCUGCUGCUAGAAAGAUUAUUUCAUCUUGCGUCAUUUGUAGACGCUUUAGAGGGAGGCUGGGUGAACAAAAGAUGGCAGAUUUGCCAAAAGACAGAAUUCAACCUGACCUCCCACCAUUCACAAGUGUGGGUGUUGACUACUUCGGGCCUUUUGAAGUGAAGAGAGGCCGCAGCUUUAUAAAGCGCUAUGGUGUUAUCUUUACCUGCAUGGCCAGUAGGGCAGUGCAUUUGGAAAUGGCAUAUUCAUUGGAUACCAGUUCUUGUAUCAAUGCACUGCGCAGAUUCAUAUCUAGAAGAGGCCAGGUAUCGCACAUCAGAUCAGAUAAUGGAACUAAUUUUGUUGGUACAGAACGUGAGCUAAGAGAGGCUCUGUCUGCUCUUAAUCAUCAAAAAAUUCAAAAGGCAUUACUUCAGUCAGGAGUGAAAUGGAGCUUCAACACUCCUACUGCAUCACAUCAUGGUGGAACAUGGGAACGAAUCAUUCGUAUGGUCAGACAGGUGCUGAACUCAGUCCUUCAUCAGCAAAGUAUGGAUGAUGAGGGAUUACAGACUCUUUUAUGUGAGGUGGAAGCCAUAUUGAAUGACCGUCCAAUCACUAAAUUGUCAAAUGAUCCUAAUGAUCUGGAACCCUUGACCCCAAAUCACAUCCUCUUGUUGAAAGGCAAACCAGCACUCCCACCUGGGCUUUUUGAGAAGAGUGAUUUAUACACAAAACGACGUUGGAGGCAAGUUCAGUUCUUAUCGGAUCUCUUCUGGCACAGAUGGAUCCGGGAGUACUUACCUCUGUUACAGGAACGACAACGGUGGUCUAAGGACAAGAGAAGCUUCAUCAUUGGAGACAUAGUCAUUGUGGCAGACUCUACUGCCCCUCGUGGAUCCUGGAUGUUAGGGAAAGUACUGCAGACCUUUCCUGACCCACGGGGACUUGUGCGGUCUGUUAAAGUUCAGACCAAAUGCAACAUUCUGGAGAGACCAGUCACAAAGAUUUGUCUUCUGCAAGAAGCGGGAUAAAGAUUGAUGUAUACAUGGACAUUAUGAACUAAAAGCCCAUAUGUGCAUGAUGGAUAUUUUAUUGGCUCCAUUGUUUGUAUGGUGUUUAAUUGUUACAUUAUUAUAGAGUAACAAUCAGGGGCCGGUGUGUUGUAGCCAAUUCUGAUGUGUUAUGUUUUUUGUUGGUGGUAAGUUGCAUGGGGGUGACGUUCUUCCACCUGCACACUAGGGGGCAUAGGCAUGGCAUUAUGCUAGUUGUGGAGGCUAUAUGAUUAAGACACAGGUGAGCCAGGAGGAGGAUCAGGAGAAGCCAGAUAGUUUUCAACCGUGCAUGCGUGCAGGUGGUUGGAUCAUGUUCAGCUAUUGGCACUAUGUUUAAUGUUGUAUAUGGAUGAGCUCAAUUGACAUCAGUAAUGCAAGCAGCAGUGUUUGUAAGUAAUUAUAUUCUUCAUUGAAUAAAGUGUUAAUCGAGUGCCAUGGGAGACCUGAUUUCUUGCACCAUUACGCGUUGGAGACGACUUCAAAUUCCCUCAAAUGUUUUUUUUUGUGGUACGAUCGCCAUUACAGUAUUAAAGAAGUAAAAUCUAGUUUAGACGACCACAUUCAUAAUUAUUAAUAACCACAGACUUUUUAAUACAAUGCUUCUUAUGCUUCCACAAAAAA